This 104-nucleotide antisense RNA is filed under the name Catenovulum maritimum. RNAcentral describes it as "Vibrio RNA AS9". It matches the Rfam family "Vibrio RNA AS9". Rfam says of the family: Identified by direct cloning an parallel sequencing experiments with 5S/tRNA depletion. Confirmed by Northern blot. Lineage: Bacteria; Pseudomonadati; Pseudomonadota; Gammaproteobacteria; Alteromonadales; Alteromonadaceae. The record is from Rfam by way of RNAcentral.
UUGCUGACAACGUUCACGAGUUAAGGUUAAACAGAUUAAUCCUCUGCCAUGUGUUGCCAUAAAGUUAAUCAUUUCAGGCGUACAAUGUUCGGCUGCAAUGAUAA